ACGCUCGACACCUACGGGAGGCAGCAGUGGGGAAUAUUGCACAAUGGGGGAAACCCUGAUGCAGCAACGCCGCGUGAAGGAAGACGGUUUUCGGAUUGUAAACUUCUGCUCUUAGUGAAGAUAGUGACGGUAGCUAAGGAGCAAGCCACGGCUAACUACGUGCUAGCAGCCGCGGUAAUCUGAGCGGGCUGGCAAGGC
RNAcentral lists this ribosomal RNA (198 nucleotides) under uncultured bacterium. RNAcentral's name for it is "partial 16S ribosomal RNA". It matches the Rfam family "Bacterial small subunit ribosomal RNA", at positions 328 to 539 of the family's 1533-position model. The record is from RNAcentral.